GGGUGCCUACGGGACGCAGCAGUGGGGAAUAUUGCACAAUGGGGGAAACCCUGAUGCAGCAACGCCGCGUGAAGGAAGACGGUUUUCGGAUUGUAAACUUCUUUUCUUAGUGAAGAAGCAAGUGACGGUAGCUAGGGAAUAAGCAUCGGCUAACUACGUGCCAGCAGCCGCGGUAAUACGUAGGAUGCGAGCGUUAUCCGGAAUUACUGGGUGUAAAGGGAGCGCAGGCGGGACUGCAAGUUGGGUGUGAAAUACCGCAGCUUAACUGCGGAGCUGCAUCCAAAACUGUAUGUCUUUAGUGGAGU
Molecule: ribosomal RNA, 305 nt
Filed under: uncultured bacterium
Lineage: Bacteria
Description: bacterial SSU rRNA
Rfam family: Bacterial small subunit ribosomal RNA
Source: RNAcentral